RNAcentral lists this ribosomal RNA (873 nucleotides) under Lacticaseibacillus rhamnosus. RNAcentral's name for it is "bacterial SSU rRNA". It matches the Rfam family "Bacterial small subunit ribosomal RNA", at positions 147 to 1004 of the family's 1533-position model. The record is from RNAcentral. Lineage: Bacteria; Bacillati; Bacillota; Bacilli; Lactobacillales; Lactobacillaceae.
CAUUUGGAAACAGAUGCUAAUACCGCAUAAAUCCAAGAACCGCAUGGUUCUUGGCUGAAAGAUGGCGUAAGCUAUCGCUUUUGGAUGGACCCGCGGCGUAUUAGCUAGUUGGUGAGGUAACGGCUCACCAAGGCAAUGAUACGUAGCCGAACUGAGAGGUUGAUCGGCCACAUUGGGACUGAGACACGGCCCAAACUCCUACGGGAGGCAGCAGUAGGGAAUCUUCCACAAUGGACGCAAGUCUGAUGGAGCAACGCCGCGUGAGUGAAGAAGGCUUUCGGGUCGUAAAACUCUGUUGUUGGAGAAGAAUGGUCGGCAGAGUAACUGUUGUCGGCGUGACGGUAUCCAACCAGAAAGCCACGGCUAACUACGUGCCAGCAGCCGCGGUAAUACGUAGGUGGCAAGCGUUAUCCGGAUUUAUUGGGCGUAAAGCGAGCGCAGGCGGUUUUUUAAGUCUGAUGUGAAAGCCCUCGGCUUAACCGAGGAAGUGCAUCGGAAACUGGGAAACUUGAGUGCAGAAGAGGACAGUGGAACUCCAUGUGUAGCGGUGAAAUGCGUAGAUAUAUGGAAGAACACCAGUGGCGAAGGCGGCUGUCUGGUCUGUAACUGACGCUGAGGCUCGAAAGCAUGGGUAGCGAACAGGAUUAGAUACCCUGGUAGUCCAUGCCGUAAACGAUGAAUGCUAGGUGUUGGAGGGUUUCCGCCCUUCAGUGCCGCAGCUAACGCAUUAAGCAUUCCGCCUGGGGGAGUACGACCGCAAGGUUGAAACUCAAAGGAAUUGACGGGGGCCCGCACAAGCGGUGGAGCAUGUGGUUUAAUUCGAAGCAACGCGAAGAACCUUACCAGGUCUUGACAUCUUUUGAUCACCUGAGA